RNAcentral lists this ribosomal RNA (529 nucleotides) under uncultured bacterium. RNAcentral's name for it is "bacterial SSU rRNA". It matches the Rfam family "Bacterial small subunit ribosomal RNA", at positions 777 to 1304 of the family's 1533-position model. The record is from RNAcentral.
AAUAGAUACCCCGGUAGUCCACGCCGUAAACGAUGAGUGCUAAGUGUUAGAGGGUUUCCGCCCUUUAGUGCUGCAGCUAACGCAUUAAGCACUCCGCCUGGGGAGUACGACCGCAAGGCUGAAACUCAAAGGAAUUGACGGGGGCCCGCACAAGCGGUGGAGCAUGUGGUUUAAUUCGAAGCAACGCGAAGAACCUUACCAGGUCUUGACAUCCUCUGCCAACCCUAGAGAUAGGGCGUUCCCCUUCGGGGGACAGAGUGACAGGUGGUGCAUGGUUGUCGUCAGCUCGUGUCGUGAGAUGUUGGGUUAAGUCCCGCAACGAGCGCAACCCUUGAUCUUAGUUGCCAGCAUUCAGUUGGGCACUCUAAGGUGACUGCCGGUGGCAAACCGGAGGAAGGUGGGGAUGACGUCAAAUCAUCAUGCCCCUUAUGACCUGGGCUACACACGUGCUACAAUGGAUGGUACAAAGAGCUGCGAACCCGCGAGGGUAAGCGAAUCUCAUAAAGCCAUUCUCAGUUCGGAUUGUAGG